CACGUAGUUAGCCGGGGCCUCUUAGUCAGGUACCGUCAUUUUCUUCCCUGCUGAUAGAGCUUUACAUACCGAGAUACUUCUUCACUCACGCGGCGUCGCUGCAUCAGGGUUUCCCCCAUUGUGCAAUAUUCCCCACUGCUGCCUCCCGUAGGAGUUUGGGCCGUGUCUCAGUCCCAAUGUGGCCGUCCGCCCUCUCAGGCCGGCUACCGAUCGUCGCUUUGGUGGGCCGUUACCCCGCCAACUGGCUAAUCGGACGCGGAUCCAUCGUAUGCCGAUAAAUCUUUUCACACAGUACCAUGCGGUAUUGUGCGCUUAUGCGGUAUUAGCAGCUGUUUCCAACUGUUAUCCCCCUGCAUACGGCAGGUUAUCCACGCGUUACUCACCCGUCCGCCACUAACUCGGAAAUCACUAGGUUUCAAUCCGAGUCCGUUCGACUUGCAUGUGUUAGGCACGCCGCCAGCGUUCAUCCUGAGCCAGGAUCAAACUCU
Molecule: ribosomal RNA, 488 nt
Filed under: uncultured Lachnospiraceae bacterium
Lineage: Bacteria; Bacillati; Bacillota; Clostridia; Lachnospirales; Lachnospiraceae
Description: partial 16S ribosomal RNA
Source: RNAcentral